This 18-nucleotide ribosomal RNA is filed under the name Bactericera maculipennis. RNAcentral's name for it is "partial 28S ribosomal RNA". Lineage: Eukaryota; Metazoa; Arthropoda; Insecta; Hemiptera; Triozidae. The record is from RNAcentral.
CGACCUCGGGCUGUACGU